Molecule: ribosomal RNA, 1198 nt
Filed under: uncultured Bacteroidota bacterium
Lineage: Bacteria; Pseudomonadati; Bacteroidota
Description: bacterial SSU rRNA
Rfam family: Bacterial small subunit ribosomal RNA
Source: RNAcentral
UGAGAGGGGGAUCCCCCACACUGGUACUGAGACACGGACCANACUCCUACGGGAGGCANCAGUGAGGAAUAUUGGACAAUGGUCGAGAGACUGAUCCAGCCAUGCCGCGUGCAGAAAGACGGCCCUACGGGUUGUAAACUGCUUUUUUACGGGAAGAAUAAUACCCACGUGUGGGUAGAUGACGGUACCGUAGGAAUAAGGACCGGCUAACUCCGUGCCAGCAGCCGCGGUAAUACGGAGGGUCCGAGCGUUAUCCGGAAUUAUUGGGUUUAAAGGGUCCGCAGGCGGGCCAGUAAGUCAGGGGUGAAAGUUUGCGGCUUAACCGUAAAAUUGCCUUUGAUACUGCUGGUCUUGAGUUGCGGUGAAGUGGCCGGAAUAUGUGGUGUAGCGGUGAAAUGCAUAGAUAUCACAUAGAACACCGAUUGCGAAGGCAGGUCACUAACCGCCGACUGACGCUGAUGGACGAAAGCGUGGGGAGCGAACGGGAUUAGAUACCCCGGUAGUCCACGCCGUAAACGAUGGACACUAGCUGUCGGACCGCUUUAGGUUCGGUGGCCAAGCGAAAGUGAUAAGUGUCCCACCUGGGGAGUACGUCGGCAACGAUGAAACUCAAAGGAAUUGACGGGGGCCCGCACAAGCGGUGGAGCAUGUGGUUUAAUUCGAUGAUACGCGAGGAACCUUACCAGGGCUUAAAUGUAGUGGGACAGGCUUAGAGAUAGGCUUUUCUUCGGACUCAUUACAAGGUGCUGCAUGGUUGUCGUCAGCUCGUGCCGUGAGGUGUCAGGUUAAGUCCUAUAACGAGCGCAACCCCUACCGUUAGUUGCCAGCGAGUAAUGUCGGGGACUCUAACGGAACUGCCGGUGCAAACCGUGAGGAAGGUGGGGAUGACGUCAAAUCAUCACGGCCCUUACGUCCUGGGCUACACACGUGCUACAAUGGCCGGUACAAUGAGCAGCCACGUCGCAAGGCGGAGCGAAUCUAUAAAACCGGUCACAGUUCGGAUCGGGGUCUGCAACCCGACCCCGUGAAGCUGGAAUCGCUAGUAAUCGGAUAUCAGCCAUGAUCCGGUGAAUACGUUCCCGGGCCUUGUACACACCGCCCGUCAAGCCAUGGAAGCCGGGAGUGCCUGAAGUCCGUCACCGUAAGGAGCGGCCUAGGGCAAGAUCGGUAACUAGGGCUAAGUNGUAACAAGGUAACC